AGUCGUAACAAGGUCUCCGUAGGUGAACCUGCGGAGGGAUCAUUACACAAAUAUGAAGGCGGGCUGGAACCUCUCGGGGUUACAGCCUUGCUGAAUUAUUCACCCUUGUCUUUUGCGUACUUCUUGUUUCCUUGGUGGGUUCGCCCACCACUAGGACAAACAUAAACCUUUUGUAAUUGCAAUCAGCGUCAGUAACAAAUUAAUAAUUACAACUUUCAACAACGGAUCUCUUGGUUCUGGCAUCGAUGAAGAACGCAGCGAAAUGCGAUAAGUAGUGUGAAUUGCAGAAUUCAGUGAAUCAUCGAAUCUUUGAACGCACAUUGCGCCCUUUGGUAUUCCAAAGGGCAUGCCUGUUCGAGCGUCAUUUGUACCCUCAAGCUUUGCUUGGUGUUGGGCGUCUUGUCUCUAGCUUUGCUGGAGACUCGCCUUAAAGUAAUUGGCAGCCGGCCUACUGGUUUCGGAGCGCAGCACAAGUCGCACUCUCUAUCAGCAAAGGUCCAGCAUCCAUUAAGCCUUUUUUUUCAACUUUUGACCUCGGAUCAGGUAGGGAUACCCGCUGAACUUAAGCAUAUCAAUAGUAAAAGUCG
Molecule: ribosomal RNA, 587 nt
Filed under: uncultured fungus
Lineage: Eukaryota; Fungi
Description: eukaryotic LSU rRNA
Rfam family: 5.8S ribosomal RNA (bases 211-364)
Source: RNAcentral